This is a long non-coding RNA of Mesocricetus auratus (golden hamster), 1231 nucleotides long. RefSeq lists it as uncharacterized. Lineage: Eukaryota; Metazoa; Chordata; Mammalia; Rodentia; Cricetidae. The transcript has 3 exons. The record is from RefSeq and is a predicted model, not a curated record.
UCUUUCCGGGCCCGCCCCUCUACCCUUAAAUGGACUGUGGCUCCGGGUCAAUGUCCGCGUCCGAGUUUGGGCCCAGUUUGGUUUAGAACUCAGGAUUUAAAGGGACACUUCUGGUGUAAAUGCUCUUCUGCAGCAUGAACUGAUGCCUGGACUUCGAUGGUGAUCGUAGCUUGUGUCAAGCUGACCAAAACAAAACAAAACAAAACAAACCUGACCAGCUCAAGACUGGAAGAGAUAACUGGUCUUUUUCUAGGCACUGAAGACACAAGGGAUGAACAAGCAAACAAGACCCCUCUGGUGCUGAAUGGAGGGCAGCAGAAAACAAGCACCCAGAAGUGGCUUUCCAAGAGACCAGUGUGAACCGGGUGACCGGCCUGGGGCCGUCUUAGUGGUGAUAUUUAGACAGAGGAAUUGCUGCUAAUUAGUUGAUAAAGGCUGAAGCAUGAAACUGAAGGACAGUGCUGCACACUAGGGCAACUGAAAACACAAAACAGCGUCAAGGCUGGAGACAUAGGUCCCCUGGCAGAAUGCUCGCCUGGCACUCACAGAGUCGAGUUCAGCCCCCAGUAUCACAUAAACCAGUUCUGGCAGCUCAUGCCUGUAAUCCCAACAUUUCUGAGGUAGAGACGGGAAGUUUAAGGUCAUCCUUGCCUACCCAUUCAGUUUGAAGCUAGCCUGGGCUACACAAGACUCUAUCAAAAAAAAAAAAAAAAAAGAAAGAAAGAAAAAAGAAAAGAAAAGAAACAAAAGGGCUAGAGAUAUGGCUUAGCUGGGUUAAGAGUGCUUGCCACUCUUCCAGAAAACUGGAGCACCCAUGUCAAGCAGCACCCAUGUCAUACAACAUCCAAGUCAAGCAGCACCCACGUCAUGCAACACCCAUGCCAUGCAGAUAGUAAUCACGCCUCCUGGGGAUCUGAUGCCUCUGACCUCUUCCUGCCUCUGCACUCUCGUGCACAUAGCCACACAGAGAUACAGACACAUACACAUAAUAUUUAAAAAAAAAAAGCCAGGCAUUGGUGGCGCACACCUUUAAUCCCAGCACUCGGGAGGCAGAGGCAGGUGGAUCCCUGUGAUUUUUAGGUCAGCCUGGUCUACAGAGCCAGUUCAAAGUCCUCUGGAUAGAUCAUCCCACCCGCCAUGUUUCACAAUGUUUACUAUGAAUACUGAUUCUGUUUUAGGAAUCCACAGUGCUGUUUUCACACUUAGAUGGAUAAAUCAUUCCCCCCCCUUG